RNAcentral lists this ribosomal RNA (676 nucleotides) under uncultured Alphaproteobacteria bacterium. RNAcentral's name for it is "bacterial SSU rRNA". It matches the Rfam family "Bacterial small subunit ribosomal RNA", at positions 137 to 849 of the family's 1533-position model. The record is from RNAcentral. Lineage: Bacteria; Pseudomonadati; Pseudomonadota; Alphaproteobacteria.
CCUGGAAUAACACGAGGAAACUUGUGCUAAUACCGGAUAAGUCUUUACGGAGAAAGCUUUAUGCACCAUUGGAUGAGCCCGCACUUGAUUAGUUUGUUGGUAGGGUAAUGGCCUACCAAGACUGUGAUCAAUAGCUGAUUUGAGAGGAUGAUCAGCCACAUUGGGACUGAGACACGGCCCAAACUCCUACGGGAGGCAGCAGUGGGGAAUCUUGCACAAUGGAGGAAACUCUGAUGCAGCGAUGCCGCGUGAGUGAAGAAGGCCCUUGGGUUGUAAAGCUCUUUCGUCGGGGAAGAAAAUGACUGUACCCGAAUAAGAAGGUCCGGCUAACUUCGUGCCAGCAGCCGCGGUAAUACGAAGGGACCUAGCGUAGUUCGGAAUUACUGGGCUUAAAGAGUUCGUAGGUGGUUGAAAAAGUUGGUGGUGAAAUCCCAGAGCUUAACUCUGGAACUGCCAUCAAAACUUUUCAGCUAGAGUUUGAUAGAGGAAAGCAGAAUUUCUAGUGUAGAGGUGAAAUUCGUAGAUAUUAGAAAGAAUACCAAUUGCGAAGGCAGCUUUCUGGAUCAUUACUGACACUGAGGAACGAAAGCAUGGGUAGCGAAGAGGAUUAGAUACCCUCGUAGUCCAUGCCGUAAACGAUGUGUGUUAGACGUUGGAAAUUUAUUUUCAGUGUCGC